CCUACGGGAGGCAGCAGUGGGGAAUAUUGCACAAUGGGGGAAACCCUGAUGCAGCGACGCCGCGUGAGUGAAGAAGUAAUUCGGGAGGUAAAGCUCUAUCAGCAGGGAAGAAAAUGACGGUACCUGAGUAAGAAGCCCCGGCUAACUACGGGCCAGCAGCCGCGGUAAUACGUAGGGGGCAAGCGUUCUCCGGAUUUACUGGUUGUAACGGGAGCGUAGACGGCAGUGCAAGUCUGGAGUGAAAGGCGGGGGCUCAACCCCCUGACUGCUCUGGAAACUGUCCGGCUGGAGUGCAGGAGAGGUAAGUGGAAUUCCUACUGUAGCGGUGAACUUCGUAGAUAUUAGGAGGCACACCAGUGGCGCAGGCGGCUUACUGGACUGUACCUGACGUUGAGGCUC
Molecule: ribosomal RNA, 399 nt
Filed under: uncultured bacterium
Lineage: Bacteria
Description: partial 16S ribosomal RNA
Rfam family: Bacterial small subunit ribosomal RNA
Source: RNAcentral